UUGAAUGGCUCCUCAAGAGGGUCCUUCUUCAUGGUUGGAGUGAUAUCUUGAUUUUUUGUGCAUGUGCUCAGCUAAUGUGUCCGAACACGUGUACGCGUCUUCUUUAGUUACGUUAUGAAGCCAUCCCACGACAUCCAGGGUGGUAUCAGUGGAGGAGUCCGCUUGUCCCACCAUACACAGCUUAACAUCUCGUCGCGUUACUGCUCUUUGUCACUGAUCACCAGGAUGCUUUGCUCGCUGACUUGCGCAUGGAAGCAAGACGCAUGGCAACUUAAUUGGCCCCCCACCACCCAACCCAGCCCAGCCCACGUCUCGCGCCCCCGGGAGUCGUUUUCGGCCCGCCAGACCCACGCGCGUUCCUGGCGCCCGCGGUGGCAUCCGUCCCCCCGCGCGCGUUACCGCCGCCUACCGCCAGGGAGCGCUCUGCCGCCGGCGGCACCAACCCUGGCCAGGGGGCAGGCGCGGCGCCAGUGAGGGCCGAUUUGUUUUUGAGCGACCGGGUGAGACAUCGCGAGAGCCGAGGAUGGUGACUGGUCUGGGUUAAUGCAAUGUCAAAAGUGAUUGUUACGGAACAAAGCGGCACCGUGAAGCAAAUUGAUAUCAGGGGAAAAAAAUCAACCGUGGUUCGAAACAAUUUGAUAUUUAACUUUGAUUUCAUAUCGAUUUAUGUUGGUGUAAUUCUUUCGAUUUCCCAUGCAAUGCAGUGUUUUUUUCUGAUUUCUAUUUACUUCAUUGCUGUUCCUUGCCUCGUUUGCUUUACUUUUGUCAGUGGUGACCGAGAUCGCUCUUGCAAAUGAGCCUCAUCAUCCUGGUCUCUGCAGCGCUCACAUGCGUUUCACAAAACCAACUUGAACUACAUUCACACUUCCACAACCUCGACUCUGUCCGCUGGUGGUCAUCCUACGGCCGUGUACAGAAGUGGUCUAAGAACGGCGAUGUCAUCUUGCUUUGCAAUCAUGAUGGGAUUCCUGUCGUGUGUUGCUGUUUGAACACACCAAUUGCUGGUAUAUUAUGAAUGCAUGUUGAAGGUUCGCACCGUACUAGCCAUCCCUGCUAACCGGAGUUGCGGGGAAAGGACAACAUCCUAAACACAAAACGCAGUUAAAAAAAAUGAGUGUUCAAUAUAUAUGAUUUAAAAGUGCGUAGCUCCAGUGGCUUCCUAAUAUCAUAAGGAAGCGCGUUCCAGACGGCCACAGAAGCGCAUCCGAAACCGCGCGAUAACCAUCCAGAAAGCCUCUCGGCAUUGUUUGAGUCUCCUCGGUUGACGCGUGCUUCUGGUACAGCCCCGGCUCCACACUUGACGAGCACAGACCCCAGCACCGUCCCGCGAUAUUGUCGGCCACACGGCCUUCUGAGAAGGCGUGAUGAGUGCAGCAUUGGUUCAACACGAAGAAAAACUCUGCUACUGGUUUCAGUAUUCGGUGCCUGAAUGUAGAAGGCGAGUAGCAGCAGCAGUACGGUUAUAUAGGCUGUUCUAUUCUGUUACAUUGUUUUCAAGUAAACCAUCCAUCUAUA
Molecule: long non-coding RNA, 1515 nt
Organism: Petromyzon marinus (sea lamprey)
Lineage: Eukaryota; Metazoa; Chordata; Hyperoartia; Petromyzontiformes; Petromyzontidae
Source: RefSeq, a predicted model, not a curated record